This 500-nucleotide ribosomal RNA is filed under the name uncultured bacterium. RNAcentral's name for it is "partial 16S ribosomal RNA". It matches the Rfam family "Bacterial small subunit ribosomal RNA", at positions 28 to 523 of the family's 1533-position model. The record is from RNAcentral.
GACGAACGCUGGCGGCGUGCCUAAUACAUGCAAGUCGAGCGGACCUCUUCGGAGGUCAGCGGCGGACGGGUGAGUAACACGUGGGCAACCUGCCUGUAAGACUGGGAUAACUCCGGGAAACCGGAGCUAAUACCGGAUACUAUGUCAAACCGCAUGGUUUGACAUUCAAAGACGGUUUCGGCUGUCACUUACAGAUGGGCCCGCGGCGCAUUAGCUAGUUGGUGAGGUAACGGCUCACCAAGGCGACGAUGCGUAGCCGAACUGAGAGGGUGACCGGCCACACUGGGACUGAGACACGGCCCAGACUCCUACGGGAGGCAGCAGUAGGGAAUCUUCCGCAAUGGACGAAAGUCUGACGGAGCAACGCCGCGUGAGUGAUGAAGGUUUUCGGAUCGUAAAACUCUGUUGUCAGGGAAGAACAAGUGCCGGAGUAACUGCCGGCGCCUUGACGGUACCUGACCAGAAAGCCACGGCUAACUACGUGCCAGCCGCCGCAGUAA